RNAcentral lists this ribosomal RNA (484 nucleotides) under uncultured bacterium. RNAcentral's name for it is "partial 16S ribosomal RNA". It matches the Rfam family "Bacterial small subunit ribosomal RNA", at positions 30 to 507 of the family's 1533-position model. The record is from RNAcentral.
AUUGAACGCUGGCGGCAGGCCUAACACAUGCAAGUCGAGCGGAUGAAGGGAGCUUGCUCCUGGAUUCAGCGGCGGACGGGUGAGUAAUGCCUAGGAAUCUGCCUGGUAGUGGGGGAUAACGUCCGGAAACGGGCGCUAAUACCGCAUACGUCCUGAGGGAGAAAGUGGGGGAUCUUCGGACCUCACGCUAUCAGAUGAGCCUAGGUCGGAUUAGCUAGUUGGUGGGGUAAAGGCCUACCAAGGCGACGAUCCGUAACUGGUCUGAGAGGAUGAUCAGUCACACUGGAACUGAGACACGGUCCAGACUCCUACGGGAGGCAGCAGUGGGGAAUAUUGGACCAUGGGCGAAAGCCUGAUCCAGCCAUGCCGCGUGUGUGAAGAAGGGCUUCGGAUUGUAAAGCACUUUAAGUUGGGAGGAAGGGCAGUAAGUUAAUACCUUGCUGGUUUGACGUUACCAACAGAAUAAGCACCGGCUAACUUCGUG